UCCUACGGGGCGCAGCAGUAGGGAAUCUUCCACAAUGGGCGAAAGCCUGAUGGAGCAACGCCGCGUGGGCGAAGAAGGUCUUCGGAUCGUAAAACCCUGUUGUUAGAGAAGAAAGUGCGUGAGAGUAACUGUUCACGUUUCGACGGUAUCUAACCAGAAAGCCACGGCUAACUACGUGCCAGCAGCCGCGGUAAUACGUAGGUGGCAAGCGUUGUCCGGAUUUAUUGGGCGGAAAGCGAGGGCAGGCGGUGCAAUAA
Molecule: ribosomal RNA, 257 nt
Filed under: uncultured bacterium
Lineage: Bacteria
Description: partial 16S ribosomal RNA
Rfam family: Bacterial small subunit ribosomal RNA
Source: RNAcentral